This is a non-coding RNA of Gossypium raimondii (Peruvian cotton), 145 nucleotides long. The record is from Rfam. Lineage: Eukaryota; Viridiplantae; Streptophyta; Magnoliopsida; Malvales; Malvaceae.
UAUUAAAAAUUUCAUCUAUUUUUAUUGUUAAAAAUUAAUGUAACUAAUAGAAUAGCCAAAUAGUUACACUUGACAUGUUACGUGUACCUCAUGCUGACGUAUAAGUACUAAUUUUUAACAAUAAAAAUGAAUGAAAUUUUUAACA